GUGGGUUCAAUUCAACACGUAUGAGGUUUGGAUAGAUACAUGGAUGGUAGGGUUUGGUGGGACUUCACAGUACAGGAUGGGCUGAAGGACCUGUUUUUGUGCUGUAGUGCUCCGUGAUUCUAUGAUGCUAACUCCCUCCAGACUCCAUCACUUCUGAGUGAUUCUUGCUGCACACUUUCAACUCUGUGCUUUCUGAGGACAUUAGAAGAAACCACAGGGAAAUGACGGCUGAGGCGGCAGAGCUACUGACUGAGAUACAUCACAGUAAUAGGCCCUUCUGGCGCUAUGAGCCUGGGCCACUAAAUUACACACGUGUGAACUCGUACGUCUUUGGACUGUGGGAGGGAACUGAAGCGCUCGGAGGAAACCCAUGCAUUCAUGGGGAGAAGGUACCAACUCCUUACAGACAGCGACCCUGAUGGACAGUGGUGAAGCACAAGUCCAGUUCGUUCAUUAGUUGGAAAGAGUGACGAUGGGGAACUCUGGCUUCAGUUGUUGCACGUAUCUGUCCUCAUGCUGCGGUGUUACGGCCACUCAGGAGAGGUGGUGUGCGAGAGAACAGCAGUACAUCGAGCACGCUGGAAUCCACGCUGGGCUUGGGGUCGCUCUUUAGUGUUUGCUCCCUGGAAAACAAGUUUGUCUGCAGCUGACCUAGCAUGAGAUGAAGAACUGCUCUGUGCUUGUUCGUGCAGAAACGUGGCUCAUGCACCAUCUCAAGGCCAUGCAACUCAGUGGUGACUUAUAUUAUUUUCGUGACUAUGUGCUAUUGUUACUAGAUGUGCCAUGUGUUGUGUGUAACUAUAUGUACUGAGGGUUGAUACUGUUGUGUGUGUGUCCUUUGCCACUGCUGAUGUGGGAUUGCUGAUGCUGGAGUGGCACUGUGGUCAGUGGGUAGAGCCCUGUCUGUGUGGAGUUCGAAGUUCUAUCUGUAACCACGUGGGUUUCUUCCAGAUUCUUCCUUCAUUCCCAUCAUGGUAUCCCACAGACUCACUUUCACGGACACUUCACAACUCCUAUUUGGAAGUCAUACAUGAUAUAGGGCACCACAGCAACGAAACAGGCCACUCGGCCCAUCAAUAUGCUGAACUGUUAUUCCCAUUGACCCUCAACUGGACCAUGGCCUUCCAUAACCCCCCCCCCCCAUCCAGUAACAUAUCCAAACUCCUGUUACAUGUUGAAAUUAAACCUACAUCCACCACUUCCACUGACAUCUCAUUCCCCCUCAGGUUGCCCUUAAACAUUUCACCUUUCACCUUUAAUCCAUGACCCCUAGUUCUGGUCUUACCCAACCUCAGUGGGGAAAAAACUGCUUGCAACUACUUACAAAAAUACCCUAUCUGUAUCUAAUUUUAUGAACCUCGAGCUGUCAGGGUCUGGACUGCAUAGUGUGGUUGUAUUUUAAUGAUACCUUAUAUGUGUUCACUAUCUUGCAUGUGUGUGGACUAGGCCUCUAGCCGCGGUGUCACCUGUUUACAGCCAUCAGGCGGAGAGGUAUCGGAGCUGGUGCGCUCCACUGGGGGGUGGUGUGGCUUGGUGUCCAGGCUGGAGUCUGUGCUGCCCCCCCCAACCCCCCUCAGUGUUCAUUUAGCAGGAGACAAACUCUGCUGUGGAGGUCUGCCGAUUUCCGUGGCAUUAGAUGGGUCAAGGUUGGACAGUUAUUGAGUAGCUGCAUCCUUCUAUUGUAUAUACGCUAUGCGUGCUUUGUGCCACGUGUGACCAUCGGUAGUGUCUUGCACCUUGACCCCGGAGUAACACUGUCUCCUUUGGCUGUAUUCAUGAGUGUGUUCAUAUAUCAUUGAAUGACAAUUAAACUCAAAUAAAAUUGAAUUGAAAUCUCCUCCCAUUCUCCAAUGUUGCAGGGAAUAAAAUCGUAACCUACGUAACCUUUCCCUAUAACCCAGAGCCUCAGGUCCCAGCAACAUCCUUGUAAAUGUUCUCUGUGCUCUCUCAAUCUAAUUGAUAUAUUUCCAUUCCUCAGUACUAUUUUAUUGUUUGGACAAUUU
This is a long non-coding RNA of Hypanus sabinus (Atlantic stingray), 2003 nucleotides long. RefSeq lists it as uncharacterized. NCBI's taxonomy places the organism in Eukaryota, Metazoa, Chordata, Chondrichthyes, Myliobatiformes, Dasyatidae. The record is from RefSeq and is a predicted model, not a curated record. The transcript is spliced from 3 exons.